UGCGCAGGCGGAACUUUAAGUCAGUGGUGAAAUCUUGCCGCUUAAUGGUAAAAUUGCCAUUGAUACUGAAGUUCUUGAAUAUGGUUGAGGUAGGCGGAAUGUGUUGUGUAGCGGUGAAAUGCAUAGAUAUGACACAGAACGCCGAUUGCGAAGGCAGCUUACUAAGCCAUUAUUGACGCUGAGGCACGAAAGCGUGGGGAGCGAACAGGAUUAGAUACCCUGGUAGUCC
This 229-nucleotide ribosomal RNA is filed under the name uncultured bacterium. RNAcentral describes it as "partial 16S ribosomal RNA". It matches the Rfam family "Bacterial small subunit ribosomal RNA", at positions 568 to 796 of the family's 1533-position model. The record is from RNAcentral.